GGGCCGGUAGCUCAGCGUGGGAGAGCGCCCGCUUAGGCGCCAGUGAGCGCCGCGGCACGCACGCCUUAGGCGGCCGAGAACGCGGGAGGACCCGGGUUCAAGUCCCGGCCGGUCCACCA
Molecule: transfer RNA, 119 nt
Filed under: Thermofilum sp.
Lineage: Archaea; Thermoproteati; Thermoproteota; Thermoprotei; Thermofilales; Thermofilaceae
Description: tRNA-OTHER
Rfam family: tRNA
About the family: Transfer RNA (tRNA) molecules are approximately 80 nucleotides in length. Their secondary structure includes four short double-helical elements and three loops (D, anti-codon, and T loops).
Source: RNAcentral